GACGAACGCUGGCGGCGUGCUUAACACAUGCAAGUCGAGCGGUAAGGCCCUUUCGGGGGUACACGAGCGGCGAACGGGUGAGUAACACGUGGGUGACCUGCCCUCAGCUCUGGGAUAAGCCUGGGAAACUGGGUCUAAUACUGGAUAUGACUCCACGGUGCAUGUCGUGGGGUGGAAAGCCUUGUGCGGCUGAGGAUGGGGCCCGC
RNAcentral lists this ribosomal RNA (206 nucleotides) under uncultured bacterium. RNAcentral describes it as "partial 16S ribosomal RNA". It matches the Rfam family "Bacterial small subunit ribosomal RNA", at positions 28 to 234 of the family's 1533-position model. The record is from RNAcentral.